AUUGAACGCUGGCGGCAGGCCUAACACAUGCAAGUCGAGCGGAAGAAGGGAGCUUGCUCCUGGAUUCAGCGGCGGACGGGUGAGUAAUGCCUAGGAAUCUGCCUGGCUGUGGGGGAUAACGUCCGGAAACGGGCGCUAAUACCGCAUACGUCCUGAGGGAGAAAGUGGGGGAUCUUCGGACCUUACGCUAUCAGAUGAGCCUAGGUCGGAUUAGCUAGUUGGUGGGGUAAAGGCCUACCAAGGCGACGAUCCGUAACUGGUCUGAGAGGAUGAUCAGUCACACUGGAACUGAGACACGGUCCAGACUCCUACGGGAGGCAGCAGUGGGGAAUAUUGGACAAUGGGCGAAAGCCUGAUCCAGCCAUGCCGCGUGUGUGAAGAAGGUCUUCGGAUUGUAAAGCACUUUAAGUUGGGAGGAAGGGCAGUAAGUUAAUACCUUGCUGUUUUGACGUUACCAACAGAAUAAGCACCGGCUAACUUCGUG
Molecule: ribosomal RNA, 484 nt
Filed under: uncultured bacterium
Lineage: Bacteria
Description: partial 16S ribosomal RNA
Rfam family: Bacterial small subunit ribosomal RNA
Source: RNAcentral